Molecule: transfer RNA, 76 nt
Filed under: Aeromonas hydrophila
Lineage: Bacteria; Pseudomonadati; Pseudomonadota; Gammaproteobacteria; Aeromonadales; Aeromonadaceae
Also listed under: 2 other names
Description: tRNA-Asn
Rfam family: tRNA
About the family: Transfer RNA (tRNA) molecules are approximately 80 nucleotides in length. Their secondary structure includes four short double-helical elements and three loops (D, anti-codon, and T loops).
Source: RNAcentral
UCCUCCUUAGUUCAGUCGGUAGAACGGCGGACUGUUAAUCCGUAUGUCACUGGUUCAAGUCCUGUCGAGGGAGCCA